UUUCGCGGUGUGUGUUCUAAGGUUUGUAAAACGUGAGAAGUGUCCCAAGUCAGUGUAAUAAGUGUUAGUUUCUUCCUUUCCGAUAGGUAUAGUGCUAAUUUAGCUAAUUAGUAAUUAGCCAGUGCGGUACUGUGCGUGAUCUGGAGAAUUCGAUAAAAGCCGUUCGACGGCUUUUAUUGUCAGCUUUUGUUCGUCCGUUUUACCUCACGCUCCACACCCCGCGCCUAUCGACCAGCCUUCCACGUCAUUCUACCACACUGCUGACCCCACGCGCCAGCAUUAAAGGUCCCAACUACCGGCCGGAGUUGGAAGGGAGUUGCUCCGUCAACCAAGCACUCCGGAAAGAGCUAAUUUCCCGCCAAAGCUCAUUACGCGCCGACGGCGGAUUUGCCAAUUCAGCAGCAAAGCGAGUGAGAUAUUCAUCGUGUUCACUUGGGUGAAUCAGCACCGGCGACGCGACGCAGCAGACAGGGGGACGUCGGUAAAGCAGAAGAUAAAGUGAGUAGAAGCCUGAUAAUUGUUUGCAUGCAUGCAGAGCUUUAGAGAGUGAAAAGUUUGAUAGCAUGAAGGAAAAGUAGGUAGAAUAGAAAUCCGCACAGUUGAGUUCAGGAGAGAAGAGAAGAAAGCUUGGUGAAACAGGAAAGGAAGUAGGGUACCCGAGUAAAAUGUGAUGGCAAUAUAUGUAUGUUUAAAAUUGAAGAAUUUGUUGUUAGUUUUCAUGUAGUUGAAUGUGGUCUCAAUUAGUUCCCCCGUUGGUUGUUACACUGGUCUGAAGAGUCUUCUCACGUUUCGGUCGUUUUGUUGUAAGGUCUAGUAGUGUUGUACUCCAAGUGUGGACUGCUUGGGAAUCUCAGUCCCUCGUUGUUGCUUGUGAAACGUGUAGAUUGAUGUUUUCGAGAUAGUUUGGCCUGUGAUGAGAACUAGU
Aedes aegypti (yellow fever mosquito) is the source of this 925-nucleotide long non-coding RNA. RefSeq lists it as uncharacterized. Lineage: Eukaryota; Metazoa; Arthropoda; Insecta; Diptera; Culicidae. The record is from RefSeq and is a predicted model, not a curated record. The transcript is spliced from 2 exons.